RNAcentral lists this ribosomal RNA (447 nucleotides) under uncultured bacterium. RNAcentral's name for it is "bacterial SSU rRNA". It matches the Rfam family "Bacterial small subunit ribosomal RNA", at positions 8 to 459 of the family's 1533-position model. The record is from RNAcentral.
AGGGUUUGAUCAUGGCUCAGAAUGAACGCUGGCGGCGUGGAUAAGACAUGCAAGUCGAACGGAGAAACAAAUAGUUUACUAGGUGUUUCUUAGUGGCGGACGGGUUAGUAACACGUGAGUUACCUGCCUCAAAGUGGGGGAUAGCCUUUCGAAAGGAAGAUUAAUACCGCAUAUGACCUUCGGGUCAAAGGUGCCUUCGGGUGCUGCUUUGAGAUGGACUCGCGGCCUAUCAGCUAGUUGGUGAGGUAACGGCUCACCAAGGCAACGACGGGUAGCUGUUCUGAGAGGAAGAUCAGCAACACUGGAACUGAGACACGGUCCAGACACCUACGGGUGGCAGCAGUCGAGAAUCAUUCACAAUGGACGAAAGUCUGAUGGUGCAACGCCGCGUGGAGGAUGAAGGCCCUAGGGUCGUAACUCCUGUCAUAUAAGAGUAAGACAUGAUGG